Molecule: ribosomal RNA, 500 nt
Filed under: Loxosceles laeta
Lineage: Eukaryota; Metazoa; Arthropoda; Arachnida; Araneae; Sicariidae
Description: partial 16S ribosomal RNA
Rfam family: Archaeal large subunit ribosomal RNA
Source: RNAcentral
CUCCUGCUCAAUGAUUUAUUAAAUAGCCGCAGUCUCCUGUGCUAAGGUAGCAUAAUAAUUUGCCCUUUAAUUUAGGGAUAGAAUGAAAGGAUAAACGAUUUAUCUACUUUUCCUAUUAUAAAAUAUAAAAUUUACAUAAAAGUAAAAAGGCUUUUAACUAACAGAAGGACGACAAGACCCUAUAGAACUUAACAUAUAGUUUAGCUGGGGUGGCAAACAAUCAAAACUUACGUUCCGAUCAAAAUAAAGACCUGAUUAUAAUCAACAAUAAAAACAAGUUACCUUAGGGAUAACAGCUCAAUUUUAUUUAAGAGCACCUAUCAAAAAUAAAGUUUAUGACCUCGAUGUUGAAUUAAUUUUACCUGAUGAGCAAAACCAUCAAAAGUAGGUCUGUUCGACCUUUAAAAAAUUACAUGAUUUGAGUUCAGACCGGCGCAAGCCAGGUCAGAUUCUAUCCUCUUUUAAAUUAUUAUAGUACGAAAGGACCUAAUAAAAAAUAA